AUUUUUUUUGGGGGGGAGGUGUAUAUUUCUAUUUUAAGUCACAUCUCUGUGGUCAAAAGGCCGGUCUGUAGCUCCAAUGUGGGCACCAUCUCAGUUG
Dipodomys spectabilis (banner-tailed kangaroo rat) is the source of this 97-nucleotide long non-coding RNA. RefSeq lists it as uncharacterized. The transcript has 3 exons. The record is from RefSeq and is a predicted model, not a curated record. NCBI's taxonomy places the organism in Eukaryota, Metazoa, Chordata, Mammalia, Rodentia, Heteromyidae.